Molecule: transfer RNA, 72 nt
Filed under: Streptomyces spectabilis
Lineage: Bacteria; Bacillati; Actinomycetota; Actinomycetes; Kitasatosporales; Streptomycetaceae
Description: tRNA-Phe
Rfam family: tRNA
About the family: Transfer RNA (tRNA) molecules are approximately 80 nucleotides in length. Their secondary structure includes four short double-helical elements and three loops (D, anti-codon, and T loops).
Source: RNAcentral
GGGACUCUAGCUCAAUUGGUAGAGCGACGGGGUGAAAUCCCGUGCGUGGGGGUUCGAUUCCCUCGGGGCCCG